RNAcentral lists this unclassified non-coding RNA (221 nucleotides) under uncultured Tomentella. RNAcentral describes it as "sequence contains ITS2". Lineage: Eukaryota; Fungi; Basidiomycota; Agaricomycetes; Thelephorales; Thelephoraceae. The record is from RNAcentral.
ACAUCUCAACUCCUCACGGUUUGCCCGUGAUGAGCUUGGACUUUGGGGGUCUUGCUGGCCUGUGGGUCGGCUCCUCUCAAACAAAUCAGCUUGCCAGUGUUUGGUGGCGUCACAGGUGUGAUAACUAUCUACACUUGUGGUUUUCUGCCAGGUAACCUCCAGCAAUGGGGGUUCACUGGAGCUCACAAAUGUCUCUCCUCGGUGAGGACAGCUCUUUGAAC